GGAGGGGUGGACAGCGGCUGUCAAGCGGUCUUGAAAACCGUCGCCCUUUUGGGGGUUGCAGGUUCGAAUCCUGUCCCCUCCGCGA
RNAcentral lists this transfer RNA (85 nucleotides) under Fidelibacterota bacterium. RNAcentral's name for it is "tRNA-Ser". It matches the Rfam family "tRNA". Rfam says of the family: Transfer RNA (tRNA) molecules are approximately 80 nucleotides in length. Lineage: Bacteria; Pseudomonadati; Fidelibacterota. The record is from RNAcentral.